AUCUCAGGGCCAAACCGAUAGGAAACGAGGCUGCCUCGCGGUGGCACCGCCACCCCCCAACCGGGUUCCGAGCACCGGAGCUGGCUGCUGCUCCCUCUUUGGAGCAAAGUUUUAUGCAAAGAGGGUGUUUUUUGAAACUUUCGGUGCACGGUGAUUUUUUUUUUUUAAGGUCCCAUAAUUAGGAAGAGUCGACUCGCUUAGGCCCUUGUUUAUUCCCUAUCUAGUGCAAAGCCACGAAUUGGCAGCAUGUUUUCUGACCUUUGGUUUGGUUGGUUUAAAAUGGUGUUCUAGAUUUUAAAAUCGUUUAAGUGACCAGUUAGAUACUCAUUCAGAGCAGACUCGGGCGGAUAGAUAGGGAAUACUGUAUGGGUAUAUCUUUGUGUCUAGACUUUUUGAGAUCGCCCUGAAGGACUGUUUUUGUUUUGUUUUGUUUGCUUGGCAUAGCCCCUUCAAGGAAUUUAAUCUCUCGGCCAUAUUCUUGUCUGAUUUUACGGAGAAAAAUAACUAAACAUGGGCAAAGGAGAUCCUAAGAAGCCGAGAGGCAAAAUGUCAUCAUAUGCAUUUUUUGUGCAAACUUGUCGGGAGGAGCAUAAGAAGAAGCACCCAGAUGCUUCAGUCAACUUCUCAGAGUUUUCUAAGAAGUGCUCAGAGAGGUGGAAGACCAUGUCUGCUAAAGAGAAAGGAAAAUUUGAAGAUAUGGCA
This 702-nucleotide long non-coding RNA is filed under the name Homo sapiens (human). RNAcentral's name for it is "HSALNT0199425". The record is from RNAcentral. Lineage: Eukaryota; Metazoa; Chordata; Mammalia; Primates; Hominidae.